GGCUGGAGCCCGCUUAGUCAGCGCCACAUCUGGCCCGUUUAGUGUUCUGCUUGUGUCUCCUCUGCCGGUUCUCCUGGGGUGUUGCUUAAGCAACCGACAUGUGGGGGUGGGGUGGGUUUGGGCGGGGCGAGUGCGUACCGCUGGUGUUUUCUUUGCUGGCGCGCGGUGGUGGUGGUUCUUGCGGCUAGGCUGUGGUGUAGGUUGGUGCUUGGGUUAGGUCUGGCGGUG
RNAcentral lists this long non-coding RNA (228 nucleotides) under Chlamydomonas reinhardtii. RNAcentral's name for it is "long non-coding RNA (CREI_LNC000889)". Lineage: Eukaryota; Viridiplantae; Chlorophyta; Chlorophyceae; Chlamydomonadales; Chlamydomonadaceae. The record is from RNAcentral.